CGUAUUUUUCGAACGUAGUCAGCAACAACAGUACACAGCCGGCGCUUCUUUGUUUACAUUCCCGAAAGAUGCAGUCAAGAUGGAAGAACUCGGAUAACAGAGACUCUAACCAGGAGGACUUUUGAUUUGGAUACACAGACGCCUGUAGAGAACUGGGACAACACAGACUCUUACCAGGAUUACUUUGAUUUGGAUGACAAAGACGCAGACGUGCUACUGCCUCGUAUGAAGGAAGGAAUUCAUCGAAAUGUUGGGGUGGAUAGUCGCCAUUGUUAUGUCAAGUCGGCUCGGCGUGAAUCCCUCGAUUGUAUGGAGGCCACUCAAGUCUUUAACAAAGUGUCACUGUCACGUGUCCUUCACAAGACUCCACCCCUCUCCUCAAACCAUGGACCACAGCACCACCUGAUGGCCGCACAGAUACUGCACUCACACGUCCUGCUGCUGCUUGCAGGUGGAACCAGGAGAUGUGUCACAUGACCCUCACUGACCUGGCGGGACCCCCGAGGAGAUGGUGGAGGACGACAGAUGGCCUUGACCCUUGGACGUCAUGCCGGCCACCUCGAUGGUGUAGGUGGUGAGCGCCGUCAGUCCGGUGACGCGGUACUCCAAGGUCAGACUGGGCAGGUAAUGUGUGACCCGCGUGUUGGUGCGGUUAAACUCCUCCCACGAGAUACGGUAACCUGCAAUAUGAUAAUAGGAACUAAGUUAUUCAUAUUUUCUACAUUUAUUACACCGGAACCACAAAUAAUGCAAUACAUAAAAAAGGCAUUUAAUUAUAUUUUGCAUCAUACAGAGAGUUAUUAAAUUAAAAUAAUCAUGUUAUAGGGAUUUAUUUUAAAAUUUAUUUGGGGUAAAAAAAGUAAAAAAAAAAAAAAAGUAGUAUGUUAACUAAUACAUACAAAAUCAAAUAUAUGUAAAAAUAUUAGAGAACACUUUAUUAAAAAUAC
This is a long non-coding RNA of Entelurus aequoreus (snake pipefish), 947 nucleotides long. RefSeq lists it as uncharacterized. The record is from RefSeq and is a predicted model, not a curated record. The transcript has 4 exons. NCBI's taxonomy places the organism in Eukaryota, Metazoa, Chordata, Actinopteri, Syngnathiformes, Syngnathidae.